This is a transfer RNA of 72 nucleotides. It matches the Rfam family "tRNA". Rfam says of the family: Transfer RNA (tRNA) molecules are approximately 80 nucleotides in length. The record is from Rfam.
UCCGAUGUAGUGUAACGGCUAGCACGGUUGUCUUUCACACAGCAGACCCGGGUUCGACUCCCGGCAUCGGAA